GAAUUUUCCAUCAUAUCAGGGCUUGCAAUGGUUCAGUGGCUAUCAGGUCCCCUAGGCAGAGGUCAGCCCCUCCUUGCUGCAGGGGGAGCAGGCGCUGAGAGGGGAAGUGACUUGGUAAAGGUGAUUGUCCAGCUCCCUGCCUAACUCAGUGGUUCUCAAUCAGGGGGUAUGUAGAGGUCUUCCAGGAGAUGCAUCAACUCAUCUAGAGACUUGGCUAGUUUUACAACAGGCUACAUUCCUGCACAGCCCAUAGCAAAUGAAAUUUCAGACAAUGAUUUGUUGAAACUGUUUGAUAUACCUCAUCCUGAAAUUGUGGAUGUUGUGUGGCAGGCUGACGGAGCUGCAGGACCUUGGACAGGGCAGUGCUGUCAGAAGCUGGGGAGAGUGAAAGUUCUGGGCUGCUUGCUGGGACUCUCAUCAGGACAAGGACCUGAGGCCAGUCGAGGCAGGGGAGGAGGCUGAGCUGCCCACUGGAUCCAGGUUGGAGGAGGACGAGGAUGACCAGGGCAGCACCGUCACCCUCCACAUUGAGACGGUGCCGAGCAGUCAGGACAUCUCCCGGGCUUCGUCAGAGGCCAGGGAAGGAUCCUCUGCAGGACCAUCCAGGAGCGAGGGACCCUCCAGCUCUGCAGCAACAGCAGCACCCCCAAUGGUCCAGGCACCAGCCUGACAAGUCAGGCAGCGGGACCAACUGCUCCGGUGCCAUGCCCAGGCCAUCGAACACAUUGAGGCAGCGAUCACGCGCAAGAUCAACGCUGACCUGGAGUGGCACCAGCAGGCAUGGGGGCAAUUCUUGCACCGGUGUGACCGCAUGUGCGAUGCGAUCACCAUUCUGACAUCGCACAUCGGUCACACAUUGCCUGAUGCACCUGCCCUCCCUGCCAUG
This is a non-coding RNA of Pelodiscus sinensis (Chinese soft-shelled turtle), 886 nucleotides long. Lineage: Eukaryota; Metazoa; Chordata; Testudines; Trionychidae. The record is from RefSeq and is a predicted model, not a curated record.